RNAcentral lists this ribosomal RNA (292 nucleotides) under uncultured bacterium. Its description in RNAcentral is "partial 16S ribosomal RNA". It matches the Rfam family "Bacterial small subunit ribosomal RNA", at positions 505 to 796 of the family's 1533-position model. The record is from RNAcentral.
GUGUCAGCCGCCGCGGUAAUACGAAGGGUGCAAACGUUGCUCGGAAUCAUUGGGCGUAAAGCGCACGUAGGCGGCUUCGCAAGUCGGAUGUGAAAUACCUAGGCUCAACCAAGGACGUGCAUCCGAAACUGCGAGGCUUGAGUACAGAAGAGGAUCGCGGAAUUCCCGGUGUAGAGGUGAAAUUCGUAGAUAUCGGGAGGAACACCAGUGGCGAAGGCGGCGAUCUGGGCUGAUACUGACGCUGAGGUGCGAAAGCGUGGGGAGCAAACAGGAUUAGAUACCCUCGUAGUCC